This 302-nucleotide long non-coding RNA is filed under the name Panicum hallii. Its description in RNAcentral is "long non-coding RNA (PHAL_LNC000487)". Lineage: Eukaryota; Viridiplantae; Streptophyta; Magnoliopsida; Poales; Poaceae. The record is from RNAcentral.
GCAACUAGCAAACCACUCGACUGAUCUGAACACUGAGUUUCAGUUCCACCAUGCCAAAUUACAUGAGAGAUGAAACAAGGCUCCUAUUGAUCCUGCUCUGAUUUACAUUUUUUUAGUUGCUGACUAGACUCAAACACUUCAUACUAACAAGCAAUCAUAAAUCAAAAGAAAGAAGAAGAGAAACCCGGAUGGCAGGGUCCGAUCGGUAGCACUAGCUGGUGCUGCUCUUGCUUGCGGCCUCGAAGAUGCUCUACAGCGCCGGCCGCCGGUGCCGGCCUCUUCCUCGGUGCCGGUCCUUCUCC